AACGAACGCUGGCGGCGCGCUUAAUACAUGCAAGUCGAACGAGAAGGUGUAGCAAUACACUUGUAAAGUGGCGAACGGGUGAGGAAUACAUGGGUAACCUACCCUCGAGUGGGGAACAACCAGCCGAAAGGUUGGCUAAUACCGCGUACGCUUCCGGGUCUUCGGAUUCGGAAGGAAAGUCAUACCGUGGGUAUGACGCUCAAGGAUGGGCUCAUGUCCUAUCAGCUUGUUGGUAGGGUAACGGCCACCAAGGCUCCGACGGGUAGCUGGUCUGAGAGGACGAUCAGCCACACUGGCACUGCGACACGGGCCAGACUCCUACGGGAGGCAGCAGUAAGGAAUAUUGCGCAAUGGGCGAAAGCCUGACGCAGCGACGCCGCGUGGGGAUGAAGGUCUUCGGAUUGUAAACCCCUUUCGGGAGGGAAAAUAGGAACGAGCAAUCGUUCGGAUGGUACCUCCAGAAGCAGCCACGGCUAACUUCGUGCCAGCAGCCGCCGUAAG
This 501-nucleotide ribosomal RNA is filed under the name uncultured bacterium. RNAcentral's name for it is "bacterial SSU rRNA". It matches the Rfam family "Bacterial small subunit ribosomal RNA", at positions 29 to 524 of the family's 1533-position model. The record is from RNAcentral.